GCCAAGGAAAAAACGCAUAAAAAAUUCAUUGAAGUUUGUAGAUGAGAGGGAAAACAACAAUACUUCUCAUUCACUUCAACCUCCAGCACCAGCAGCAUCUGAAGAUACCACUGUAGAGGCUGACUCUACAAAUGUGAAGAAGAAGGCUAAGAUCAAAGUCAAGGAUGUUUGCAACUUAUCUAAAGAAGACCGUGUAAUUGUAGAGGUUGACGAAGAGGGUGCGACAUAUGGUGAAGCACAAGGUUUACUUGCUGGCUAUUGUGGUAUAUUAGCAACUAAUGCACGUAUCUUUCCAAUUAGCUUUGAAAAGUGGUCAGGACAAGAAAAUGGUGGCAUGCCUAAGUCUUUCAAGGAUGAGUGCUUUGAUUCAAUGAUAAAGGUAUUGCAUUCAAAGUAUUGCAAAGAAGUGGGGAACAUAUAGUCAAAGAUUGUGGAAUGAGUUCUAUGAUCCAACCAUGAGAAGAGAAGUAUUGGUGAACAAUGUGCCUGAUGAUAUUCUAAGAGAUCAAUGGGCUUGUUUUGUCAAUUAUCGACUAAAACCGUCUACAGUUCUUUGCAUGAAAAAUAAGGAAAAUCGAAGCAAGCAAACCAUUCCUCACACUUGUGGAUCUAAAUCCAACUCUCGGAAGCGACAUAAGAUUACUUGAAAACGGGAAAGAAGUCUAGUAGAGGAAUGAUGUACAUUGAAACACAUAAGAGAAAGGAUGGGUCUUUUGUAAAUAACGAG
Long non-coding RNA from Arachis stenosperma, 727 nucleotides. RefSeq lists it as uncharacterized. The transcript is spliced from 5 exons. Lineage: Eukaryota; Viridiplantae; Streptophyta; Magnoliopsida; Fabales; Fabaceae. The record is from RefSeq and is a predicted model, not a curated record.